RNAcentral lists this ribosomal RNA (253 nucleotides) under uncultured bacterium. RNAcentral's name for it is "partial 16S ribosomal RNA". It matches the Rfam family "Bacterial small subunit ribosomal RNA", at positions 524 to 776 of the family's 1533-position model. The record is from RNAcentral.
UACGUAGGGGGCAAGCGUUGUCCGGAUUUAUUGGGCGUAAAGAGCGUGUAGGCGGCCAGGGAGGUCCGUUGUGAAAACUCGAGGCUCAACCUCGAGACGCCGAUGGAAACCCCUUGGCUAGAGUCCGGAAGAGGAGAGUGGAAUUCCCGGUGUAGCGGUGAAAUGCGCAGAUAUCGGGAAGAACACCCGUGGCGAAGGCGGCUCUCUGGGACGGUACUGACGCUGAGACGCGAAAGCGUGGGGAGCGAACAGG